RNAcentral lists this long non-coding RNA (1602 nucleotides) under Homo sapiens (human). RNAcentral describes it as "HSALNT0324234". The record is from RNAcentral. Lineage: Eukaryota; Metazoa; Chordata; Mammalia; Primates; Hominidae.
AGAGCACCCAGCAUAACUGUGGGAGAAUAGUAAGCAUUGGACACAAAAUGGAAAAGCUGACCUUCUGGUACGGAAGAGCAUGAGCAGUGAGUGAGCAGUGCCCAUGCGUUGUGAGGCGGCCUCCAUGGUAUAAGGUUUAGGCAAAUAAUGAUGAACAAAAAUGGUCAGUCUGUGUUCCUGCUGACCCAGCACAGUGGGGACGCUGUGUAGGACAUGACCUUUGGGGGAAAGGACACAAGAACUCAGCGUGGGGGAUCCAGAAAAGAAGUCGCACGUAUUGAAGCCAGUAACGCCAAGCCAGUGAAUUCUCCUUGACGAGAAAGACCCACUUACUCUGCAGAAGAGAUAUAUGACAGCUGACAAUCCCUGGAGGAGAAUCUUUCUACUAAAUUGGUAAGGGAUGCUAAGCAAAUGAUGUGGACUCAGGAAACAACGCAUUUCAUGAUAUACGGUUGCCUCUCAAGGUGAAUUCGAGACCCCUCUUGAAUUACAAAGAGUUGAAAACAUUCAAGUACGGAAUAAACUAUUACUGCGAAUACGCUCAUAUGACACAAGAACAAUCUCUGAGCUUCUUUGAGGAUGUCCAGAUGACUGCUGACUGCACUAAUUGCAUCAAUCGUGUAUCCAUACAGGUUCUUUCUAUAAAAUAGUGGUCGCUAGUUAUGAGGCGUUAAGCCUUCAUGGAUAUAAACAGACUAUUCCACCUAAGUGAUCUGGCAGAAGCUUAGUUUUCUACCACAACAUCCACCGUCCUCCCUCCCUCCCUUCCUAGCUGGUCAGAAAAGCUACUCAGAAUAAAGACUACAUUUCCCAGCCAUCUUUGCAGCUAGGUUUAUCCACCUGACUAAAUUCCACCGUAACUCCAGGUUGAAGAACUUCUACUUAUAGGCAUCUAUUCAACGAAGACGAAUCCUGGAAUGGGGAUGGAAAUGAUGGCUCAUGUCUUAGCAAACUACCAAACUGAUCCGAGAGGACAGGGAAGUCAGUGUGGGCGGCUCUAAGGAGCCUCCCUCUCUACAGCUGCGGCUCAGAGGAUUACGGCGCUUCAUCCACAAGGCAACAUUGCACAAGUAGCUUUUGAACAAAAGUCAUGGAUACUAUUAAUGAUAUGUUCCCACACACAUUUAGUGUCGUCUCAAAAUUCACGCUGUCAACUGUCUCUAGGAAUCAUUUCCAUCUGAGAACAGACCACACAAAGACACAGUGAAACUCAGUUUCUGCAGAAUUUGAUUUCAUUUGAGUUACUGGGGAACAAAGCAAUUAGACAAUGAAUAAUAGCUCAAGACAGGCUGAAGCUGAAGAUUUCUGCAAAAGAAUGAAGAGGAAACGUUUUGAUCCUGAGCAGAUGUUCUCCCUAGAUUGCUUCACCUGAGGUUGAUUGACUUUUGGAAACGAGAUUUGUUCCCAGUGCUUUGUGAGUCUCUUGUUGGAAGGACUGUCUUUAAAUUAAAGCAAUUAGAGUUACUUUAUAAGAUUUACCCAAAUAUAAGAGCUGAAGAGAAUAAUUCAAAUUGAUCAGAAGAAAAUACUCAAUUACUGACAAAUGUCAAUUACAUCAAUAGCCUAGGCUGCUCUUGAACUCCUGGGCUCAAACGAUCCUCC